CUUUCUAUGCACGCGCACAUUUUUUUCGAACGCUCUGCAGUUUAAAACUUUCUUUCUGCGCCUGCGAAUGCUCCGGCAAUGUCGGUAAAACUGAGGAAAGGAUACGAGGCUUGCUACGCGACUGUGUUAUGUGGCAACUCGGGGAGCAACACAAGGGCGAAAUAUUUCCGUUUCCCAGCGGACGAGAGAUGUGACAUAUGACGAAAUGACGCUAAAUGGGGAGUCCUGGCGGGGCUGACGUGGGAGCAGAUGUAUAACAGCUACGGCCUCUGCUAGGAUCACUUCAGACGAAGGGACUACGCCGACCGACCCUGUCGUGGUCGGCUGCGCCGACUGUUGGAAUGUAAGAGUGGUCCCUGAUCGAUGAAGAAGAGGACGACGACGAUGGGAGCACUAACGGACUCGGUCUAGUGGGUCAGAGAGAUUGGGCGACGAUGAAGAAGACGUGUCUUUGCUCUGCUGGUUUUUGAACAGAUUGUCCUGUUGUUCUUGAAGAACGUCUCCCUGUGUUCUGUUAACGUUGUACUGCGACACUGGUGGAGGUGCUGGGUACUGACCGCAUCUGAUGCAUCAGAGUCCUUCUGGGAGUCGUUCAUCUAGCCCGGACGCACUGUCACCAGUUACGACACCAGUGCAUCGCUUUAGUCGUCGACUGCUAGGCCUUGCCCCGGAGCUCUCUGCUCUUCAACCACCUCUCUCCAGAAGCUCCACACAUCUCGCAAUGGUUGAAACCAGUCCACCACAAGCACCCCAAAGCAGCCGGUUUUCCAGUCACCACAGGUAACCGUUCUGCAUCCGCUGGUUCCCGAUCGCUAUCGCGGUGCAGUCUUCGCAGACAUUGAAGACUGGCUUGACAAGUAUGAAUGUGUCGCACAGAUUAAUCAGUGGACUGAGCAGCAAAAGCUCUCCCACGUCUAUUUCGCCCUUGACGACAGUGGCUGUACUUGGUUCGAGAACCGCGAAGGUAGCCUCACGAGCUGGCAUGACUUUCGGCAGAAGAUCACGGAUACUUUUGCGAGUACCGACCGACGCGACCGGGCCUAGCAAAUGAUGGAGCUACGGGUGCAACAACCUAAUGAGUCAGUCACCAUGUACGCCGAGGACAUGGCCCACAUCUUUCGUAGAGCCGACCCAAACAUGACCGAAGAUAGGA
This is a long non-coding RNA of Dermacentor albipictus, 1153 nucleotides long. RefSeq lists it as uncharacterized. The record is from RefSeq and is a predicted model, not a curated record. NCBI's taxonomy places the organism in Eukaryota, Metazoa, Arthropoda, Arachnida, Ixodida, Ixodidae.